Molecule: small nuclear RNA, 103 nt
Organism: Acomys russatus (golden spiny mouse)
Lineage: Eukaryota; Metazoa; Chordata; Mammalia; Rodentia; Muridae
Source: RefSeq, a predicted model, not a curated record
GUGCUCACUUCAGCAACACAAAUACUAAAACUGGAACAAUAAAAGAUUAGCACGAACCCUGUACAUGGGUGACAUGCAAAUUCUUGAAGCAUUCCGUAUUUUU